Molecule: transfer RNA, 76 nt
Filed under: Bacillus cereus
Lineage: Bacteria; Bacillati; Bacillota; Bacilli; Caryophanales; Bacillaceae
Description: tRNA-Asp
Rfam family: tRNA
About the family: Transfer RNA (tRNA) molecules are approximately 80 nucleotides in length. Their secondary structure includes four short double-helical elements and three loops (D, anti-codon, and T loops). Further hydrogen bonds mediate the characteristic L-shaped molecular structure. tRNAs have two regions of fundamental functional importance: the anti-codon, which is responsible for specific mRNA codon recognition, and the 3' end, to which the tRNAs corresponding amino acid is attached (by aminoacyl-tRNA synthetases). tRNAs cope with the degeneracy of the genetic code in two manners: having more than one tRNA (with a specific anti-codon) for a particular amino acid; and 'wobble' base-pairing, i.e. permitting non-standard base-pairing at the 3rd anti-codon position.
Source: RNAcentral
GGUCCCGUGGGGUAGUGGGUAACAUGCCUGCCUGUCACGCAGGAGAUCGCCGGUUCGACCCCGGUCGGGACCGCCA